GACGAACGCUGGCGGCGUGCCUAAUACAUGCAAGUUGAGCGAUGAAGAUUGGUGCUUGCACCAAUUUGAAGAGCAGCGAACGGGUGAGUAACGCGUGGGGAAUCUGCCUUUGAGCGGGGGACAACAUUUGGAAACGAAUGCUAAUACCGCAUAACAACUUUAAACAUAAGUUUUAAGUUUGAAAGAUGCAAUUGAAUCACUCAAAGAUGAUCCCGCGUUGUAUUAGCUAGUUGGUGAGGUAAAGGCUCACCAAGGCGAUGAUACAUAGCCGACCUGAGAGGGUGAUCGGCCACAUUGGGACUGGGACACGGCCCAAACUCCUACGGGAGGCAGCAGUAGGGAAUCUUCGGCAAUGGACGAAAGUCUGACCGAGCAACGCCGCGUGAGUGAAGAAGGUUUUCGGAUCGUAAAACUCUGUUGGUAGAGAAGAACGUUGGUGAGAGUGGAAAGCUCAUCAAGUGACGGUAACUCCCCAGAAAGGGACGGCUAACUACGUG
Molecule: ribosomal RNA, 497 nt
Filed under: uncultured bacterium
Lineage: Bacteria
Description: partial 16S ribosomal RNA
Rfam family: Bacterial small subunit ribosomal RNA
Source: RNAcentral